Molecule: non-coding RNA, 847 nt
Organism: Oryctolagus cuniculus (rabbit)
Lineage: Eukaryota; Metazoa; Chordata; Mammalia; Lagomorpha; Leporidae
Source: RefSeq, a predicted model, not a curated record
GAAAACGCGCCCCCCACCCCCCAUGGAUGUAAAAGAGGGGCAGACGCCUCCGAGGUAGAGCGCAUGCGUUCAGGGCCGACAUUGGCCUCUGGUGGGCGAAGCCGUUGUGUGGCCGGCCCAGCCCUGCCGGGAAGAGAAGCUCACGGAAGGUGGAGUAUGUGUUCCUUUAGUGAAAUUCUUAAGACCUAGGAAAGAAUCUGGAGUGCCCUGAGGUGACCUACAUCUAACCCAGCUUCACUGCCCCAGGCUCAACAAGUAUUACAGUACACCCGAGGAAAAAGAUCGAGAGGGGCGGACGGGAGCGCCUUCGUAAAAGUCCAGGAUCCGAAGAAAGGGAGCUGAGGCCUGGCUAACCUUAACACCAAGCCCUAGACCGAUUAUACUUUCUCAAGGCAUUCUCAAAUACAUCCCACUAAAUAAAGUAGUCGAUCUUUCUCAGUGUUCAUACACGUAGCAGUCUAUAAAACAGAUCACCGACAUUCAACUAUGUGUUUUAAUUUUUUCUCCAAAAAUGCCUUCCCAACAAAAGGACUAUUACACACACCAACAGUUGUCAAUAACGUGUUUGAAAAGAAUUUAAAGUGAGAAAAUUCUUUUGAAUCUUAGAUGUCUGCUUUUGUCUGUCAGCUCUCUGCUGUGGCCUGGGAAAGCAGUAGAAGAUGGCCCUAGAGCUCCCUGCCACGGCGUGGGAGACUGGGAAGAAGCACCUGGUUCCUGCUUUGGAUCGGCGAUCAGCGCAGCUCCAGCCAUUGUGGCCACUGGGAAGUGAACCAACGGAAACAAGACCUUUCUCUCUGUUUCUCUCUCUCACUGUCUGUAACUCUACCUCUCAAAUAAAUAAAUAAAU